This 238-nucleotide ribosomal RNA is filed under the name uncultured bacterium. Its description in RNAcentral is "partial 16S ribosomal RNA". It matches the Rfam family "Bacterial small subunit ribosomal RNA", at positions 796 to 1041 of the family's 1533-position model. The record is from RNAcentral. RNAcentral also lists the same sequence under 1 other name.
CACGCCGUAAACGAUGGAUACUAGCUGUUCGGAGCAAUCUGAGUGGCUAAGCGAAAGUGAUAAGUAUCCCACCUGGGGAGUACGCACGCAAGUGUGAAACUCAAAGGAAUUGACGGGGGCCCGCACAAGCGGUGGAGCAUGUGGUUUAAUUCGAUGAUACGCGAGGAACCUUACCAGGGCUUAAAUGUAGAUUGACAGGACUGGAAACAGUUUUUUCUUCGGACAAUUUACAAGGUGC